ACCGGCUAACUACGCCAGCAGCCGCGGUAAUACGUAGGGUGCAAGCGUUAAUCGGAAUUACUGGGCGUAAAGCGUGCGUGCAGGCGGUUCGGAAAGAAAGAUGUGAAAUCCCAGAGCUUAACUUUGGAACUGCAUUUUUAACUACCGAGCUAGAGUGUGUCAGAGGGAGGUGGAAUUCGCGUGUAGCAGUGAAAUGCGGGUAGACAGUGAGGAACACCGAUGGCGAAGGCAGCCUGGGAUAACACUGACGCUCAUGCACGAAAGCGUGGGGAGCAAACAGGAUUAGAUACCCUGGUAGUCCAGCGCCCCAAACGAUGUCAACUAGCUGUUGGGGCCUUCGGGCUCCGGUAGCGCAGCUAACGCGUGAAGUUGACCGCCUGGGGAGUACGGUCGCAAGAUUAAAACUCAAAGGAAUUGACGGGGACCUGCACAAGCGGUGGAUGAUGUGGAUUAAUUCGAUGCAACGCGAAAAACCUUACCUACCCUUGGACAUGUCUGGAAUCCCGAAGAGAUUUGGGAGUGCUCGCAAGAGAACCGGAACACAGGUGCUGCAUGGUUGUCGUCAGCUCGUGUCGUGAGAUGUUGGUUAAGUCCCGCAACGAGCGCAACCCUUGUCAUUAGUUGCUGCCAGCGGCACUCGACGAGAUCGCUGCGACAAACCGGAGGAAGUGUGGGAUGGACGUCAAGUCCUCAUGGCCCUUAUGGGGUAGGGCUUCACACGUCAUACAGCUGUCGGUCGGAGGUCGCCAACCCGCGCAGGGGGAGCCAAUCCCAGAAACCCGAUCGUAGUCCGGAUCGCAGUCUGCAACUCGACUGCGUGAAGUCGGAACUGCUAGUAAUCGCGGAUCAGCAUGUCGCGGUGAAUACGUUCCUGGUCUUGUACACACCUGCCCGUCACACGAUGAGUGGGUUUUACCAGAAGUAGUUAGCUCAACCGUAAGGAGGGCGAUUACCACGGUAGGAUUCAUGACUGGGGUGAAGUCGUAACAAGGUAA
Molecule: unclassified non-coding RNA, 995 nt
Filed under: uncultured Bordetella sp.
Lineage: Bacteria; Pseudomonadati; Pseudomonadota; Betaproteobacteria; Burkholderiales; Alcaligenaceae
Description: partial 16S-23S ribosomal RNA intergenic spacer
Rfam family: Bacterial small subunit ribosomal RNA
Source: RNAcentral